RNAcentral lists this ribosomal RNA (620 nucleotides) under uncultured Wolbachia sp. Its description in RNAcentral is "bacterial SSU rRNA". It matches the Rfam family "Bacterial small subunit ribosomal RNA", at positions 94 to 749 of the family's 1533-position model. The record is from RNAcentral. Lineage: Bacteria; Pseudomonadati; Pseudomonadota; Alphaproteobacteria; Rickettsiales; Anaplasmataceae.
AGUGGCAGACGGGUGAGUAAUGUAUAGGAAUCUACCUAGUAGUACGGAAUAAUUGUUGGAAACGGCAACUAAUACCGUAUACGCCCUACGGGGGAAAGAUUUAUCGCUAUUAGAUGAGCCUAUAUUAGAUUAGCUAGUUGGUAAGGUAAUGGCUUACCAAGGCAAUGAUCUAUAGCUGAUCUGAGAGGAUGAUCAGCCACACUGGAACUGAGAUACGGUCCAGACUCCUACGGGAGGCAGCAGUGGGGAAUAUUGGACAAUGGGCGAAAGCCUGAUCCAGCCAUGCCGCAUGAGUGAAGAAGGCCUUUGGGUUGUAAAGCUCUUUCGGUGAGGAAGAUAAUGACGGUACUCACAGAAGAAGUCCUGGCUAACUCCGUGCCAGCAGCCGCGGUAAUACGGAGAGGGCUAGCGUUAUUCGGAAUUAUUGGGCGUAAAGGGCGCGUAGGCGGAUUAGUAAGUUAAAAGUGAAAUCCCAAGGCUCAACCUUGGAAUUGCUUUUAAAACUGCUAAUCUAGAGAUUGAAAGAGGAUAGAGGAAUUCCUAGUGUAGAGGUGAAAUUCGUAAAUAUUAGGAGGAACACCAGUGGCGAANGCGUCUAUCUGGUUCAAAUCUGACGCUGA